This 202-nucleotide ribosomal RNA is filed under the name uncultured Pelagophyceae. Its description in RNAcentral is "partial Bacterial large subunit ribosomal RNA". It matches the Rfam family "Bacterial large subunit ribosomal RNA", at positions 868 to 1068 of the family's 2925-position model. Lineage: Eukaryota; Pelagophyceae. The record is from RNAcentral.
AUUUCGGUACAGCGUCGAGGUGGAGUCAGCGGGAGGUAGAGCUACCGAUAGGACUAGGGGGUGUCACAGCCUACCGAAUCCUGACGAACUCCGAAUGCCCGUUGAUAUACUCGGCAGUGAGGCGUGGGGUGCUAAGGUCCCAUGCCGAGAGGGAAAGAACCCAGACCAUCCGCUAAGGUCCCUAAAUUCGGACUAAGUUGAA